GACGAACGCUGGCGGCGUGCCUAAUACAUGCAAGUAGAACGCUGAAGGAGGAUCUUGCUUACCCGGAUGAGUUGCGAACGGGUGAGUAACGCGUAGGCAACCUGCCUGGUAGCGGGGGAGAACUAUUGGUAACGAUAGCUAAUACCGCAUAAUAGUAGAUGAUGCAUGAGAUUUGCUUAAAAGGUGCAAUUGCAUUACUACCAGAUGGUCCUGGGUUGUAUUAGCUAGUUGGGGGGGUAACGGCUCACCAAGGCGGCGAUACUUAGCCGACCUGAGAGGAUGGUCGGCCGCCCUGGGGCGGGAACACGGCCCAUGCUCCUGCGAGAGGGCGCAGUAGGGAACCUGCGGCAAUGGACGGGAGUCUGGCCGAGCGAGGGCGCGUGAGUGGAGGAGGUGUUCGGAGCGUGAAGCUCUGUUGUAAGAGGAGAACGGGUGUGAGAAUGGACAGUGCACUCUGUGACGGUACCUUACCAGAAAGCGACGGCUAACUACGUG
RNAcentral lists this ribosomal RNA (495 nucleotides) under uncultured bacterium. Its description in RNAcentral is "partial 16S ribosomal RNA". It matches the Rfam family "Bacterial small subunit ribosomal RNA", at positions 28 to 507 of the family's 1533-position model. The record is from RNAcentral.